CCCUGCCCUUUGUACACACCGCCCGUCGCUACUACCGAUUGAAUGGUUUAGUGAGGCCUCGGGAGGGCUGAUGCCUGGCGCGCGCGCAAGCGUGUGUCUUGUCGGCCCGAACUUGGUCAAACUUGAUC
Molecule: ribosomal RNA, 128 nt
Filed under: uncultured eukaryote
Lineage: Eukaryota
Description: partial small subunit ribosomal RNA
Rfam family: Eukaryotic small subunit ribosomal RNA
Source: RNAcentral